GGAUAUGAGGGCGAUCUGGCUGCAACAUUUGUCACCCCGUUGAUGGCCAGGGUUGAUUUGGGCGAUCUGGCUGGCUAGGCGGGUGUCCCCUUCCUCCCUCACUGCUCCAUGUAUGUCCCUGCUGAAGCUGCACACUUGGUUGAAGAGGACAACCUUUCUUGCUAGAGGAGGACCGUUCUUUGUUCAAGGGUAUACCAGGAGCUGGACUGCCUGCUAGAACCUCUGAACAAACUCUCAAGUUCACUCCUUGUUCCUCCUAGGAGUCUUAGAAACAUUCAUUACAGCCUCAGAAUUCCUGGAGCCUGCUGUGU
This 311-nucleotide small nuclear RNA is filed under the name Saimiri boliviensis boliviensis (Bolivian squirrel monkey). RNAcentral's name for it is "7SK RNA (ENSSBOG00000001333.1)". It matches the Rfam family "7SK RNA". Rfam says of the family: 7SK was discovered as an abundant small nuclear RNA in the mid-70s but a possible function has only recently been suggested. Two independent studies have found that 7SK RNA binds the CDK9/cyclin T complex (known as elongation factor P-TEFb). P-TEFb activates transcription by phosphorylating the C-terminal domain of RNA polymerase II. The record is from Rfam by way of RNAcentral. Lineage: Eukaryota; Metazoa; Chordata; Mammalia; Primates; Cebidae.